AUCUUCUCUAGUGUCUUUGUAAGUUCCAAGCUCCGUACAUCCACCAUCUUUGCAUACAGCCUAUUCAUUUCAAUCAAACUUCUGUUAGCAAGUUACAAACUUUGAUUAGUUAAAUACAGUGAACCAUUAUUGGUAACUACUCCCGUUGUACCUAAGCUCCAUGAAGUGCAAGUUGUUGGGACAGUUUUGUUAACUUUCAGACGGGUUUUAUCAAGUGUAAUCCUGUGGGAUAGUUUAGUUUUCCUUCAGAUGGGCUCCAUGAAGUACUUCAGCAAAGCGUUGCAACAAAAUCUGGAAAUUUGGUGCUGGAGCAAAACUUUGAAUGCCAUGAUAGAUGAUACGAGUCCAAACAAUCUGGCAGAUUAUCCCAUGUAAAUCAAUUGUUUUACAUGGCACAUCGUGAGAGAGUUCACUAAGCUCUAAAUGAGACUGGGUGUAUCUGAUUAAUUCAUUACACCAGUUAAAUAUUGCUUAAGAUA
This 479-nucleotide long non-coding RNA is filed under the name Hordeum vulgare. Its description in RNAcentral is "long non-coding RNA (HVUL_LNC003727)". The record is from RNAcentral. Lineage: Eukaryota; Viridiplantae; Streptophyta; Magnoliopsida; Poales; Poaceae.